GGGGAACCCUUUUCCCGCAUAGCCGUUGACAUUGUGGGUCCACUGGCCAGGGCUAGUCCAUCCGGGAAGAGGUAUAUUAUCACAGUGGUGGACUACGCCACACGUUAUCCAGAGGCAGUAGCGCUGUCUAAUAUAGAGGCAGAGAAAGUGGCUGAUGCCCUGGUUAAGAUUUUUUCUAGGGUCUAGUUCCCUCAAGAGAUUCUCUCUCCGACCUGGGAACUCAGUUUACCGCUGUUGCCACCCAGCAGCUGUGGAAGGUGUGCGGCAUUAAACCGCUGCUUAGCUCACCUUAUCACCCACAGACUAACAGCCUCUGCGAGCGAUUUAAUGGCACCCUCAAGCAGAUGUGAGGACCUUUACUGACACUUGCAGAGACUGGGAGCGAUUCCUGCCUCAUCUGU
Non-coding RNA from Pelobates cultripes (western spadefoot toad), 401 nucleotides. NCBI's taxonomy places the organism in Eukaryota, Metazoa, Chordata, Amphibia, Anura, Pelobatidae. The record is from the annotation of a GenBank genome assembly.